RNAcentral lists this ribosomal RNA (406 nucleotides) under uncultured bacterium. RNAcentral describes it as "partial 16S ribosomal RNA". It matches the Rfam family "Bacterial small subunit ribosomal RNA", at positions 30 to 526 of the family's 1533-position model. The record is from RNAcentral.
AUUGAACGCUGGCGGCAGGCUUAACACAUGCAAGUCGAGCGAGCGGCGGACGGGUGAGUAAUGUCUGGGAAACUGCCUGAUGGAGGGGGAUAACUACUGGAAACGGUAGCUAAUACCGCAUACCAUCAGAUGUGUCCAGAUGGGAUUAGCUUGGAGGUGGGGUAAUGGCUCACCUAGGCGACUAUCCCUAGCUGGUCUGGGAGGAUGACCCACCACGCUAGAACUGUGGCACGGUCCAGACUCCGACGGUGGGCAGCAGUGGGGAAUAUUGCACAAUGGGAGCAAGCCUAAUGCAGCCAUGCCGCGUGUGUGAAGAAGGCCUUCGGGUUGUAAAGCACUUUCAGCGAGGAGGCGUUACUCGCAGAAGAAGCACCGGCUAACUCCGUGCCAGCAGCCGCGGUAAUAC